GAACGCUGGCGGCGUGCUUAACACAUGCAAGUCGAGCGGAAAGGCCCUUCGGGGUACUCGAGCGGCGAACGGGUGAGUAACACGUGAGCAACCUGCCCUAGGCUUUGGGAUAACCCCGGGAAACCGGGGCUAAUACCGAAUAGGACCACUGGCCGCAUGGCUGGUGGUGGAAAGUUUUUCGGCCUGGGAUGGGCUCGCGGCCUAUCAGCUUGUUGGUGGGGUGAUGGCCUACCAAGGCGACGACGGGUAGCCGGCCUGAGAGGGCGACCGGCCACACUGGGACUGAGACACGGCCCAGACUCCUACGGGAGGCAGCAGUGGGGAAUAUUGCACAAUGGGCGGAAGCCUGAUGCAGCGACGCCGCGUGAGGGAUGACGGCCUUCGGGUUGUAAACCUCUUUCAGCAGGGACGAAGCGUAAGUGACGGUACCUGCAGAAGAAGCGCCGGCCAACUACGUGCCAGCAGCCGCGGUAAGACGUAGGGCGCGAGCGUUGUCCGGAUUUAUUGGGCGUAAAGAGCUCGUAGGCGGC
This 530-nucleotide ribosomal RNA is filed under the name Micromonospora rhizosphaerae. RNAcentral describes it as "bacterial SSU rRNA". It matches the Rfam family "Bacterial small subunit ribosomal RNA", at positions 31 to 579 of the family's 1533-position model. The record is from RNAcentral. Lineage: Bacteria; Bacillati; Actinomycetota; Actinomycetes; Micromonosporales; Micromonosporaceae.